RNAcentral lists this ribosomal RNA (578 nucleotides) under Streptosporangium sp. QA40. RNAcentral's name for it is "bacterial SSU rRNA". It matches the Rfam family "Bacterial small subunit ribosomal RNA", at positions 87 to 683 of the family's 1533-position model. The record is from RNAcentral. Lineage: Bacteria; Bacillati; Actinomycetota; Actinomycetes; Streptosporangiales; Streptosporangiaceae.
GUACUCGAGCGGCGAACGGGUGAGUAACACGUGAGUAACCUGCCCCCGACUCUGGGAUAAGCCCGGGAAACUGGGUCUAAUACCGGAUAUGACACCUCCUCGCAUGGGGUGGGUGUGGAAAGUUUUUCGGUUGGGGAUGGACUCGCGGCCUAUCAGCUUGUUGGUGGGGUAAUGGCCUACCAAGGCGACGACGGGUAGCCGGCCUGAGAGGGCGACCGGCCACACUGGGACUGAGACACGGCCCAGACUCCUACGGGAGGCAGCAGUGGGGAAUAUUGCGCAAUGGGCGAAAGCCUGACGCAGCGACGCCGCGUGGGGGAUGACGGCCUUCGGGUUGUAAACCUCUUUCAGCAGGGACGAAGUUGACGUGUACCUGCAGAAGAAGCGCCGGCUAACUACGUGCCAGCAGCCGCGGUAAUACGUAGGGCGCAAGCGUUGUCCGGAAUUAUUGGGCGUAAAGAGCUCGUAGGUGGCUUGUCACGUCGGGUGUGAAAGCUUGGGGCUUAACUCCAGGUCUGCAUUCGAUACGGGCUGGCUAGAGGUAGGUAGGGGAGAACGGAAUUCCUGGUGUAGCGGUG